UUAAGCGACUAAGCGUACACGGUGGAUGCCCUGGCAGUCAGAGGCGAUGAAGGACGUGCUAAUCUGCGAAAAGCGUCGGUAAGGUGAUAUGAACCGUUAUAACCGGCGAUGUCCGAAUGGGGAAACCCAGUGCAAUUCGUUGCACUAUCGUUAACUGAAUACAUAGGUUAACGAGGCGAACCGGGGGAACUGAAACAUCUAAGUACCCCGAGGAAAAGAAAUCAACCGAGAUUCCCCCAGUAGCGGCGAGCGAACGGGGAGCAGCCCAGAGUCUGAAUCAGCUUGUGUGUUAGUGGAACGGUCUGGAAAGUCCGACGGUACAGGGUGAUAGUCCCGUACACCAAAAUGCACAGGUUGUGAACUCGAAGAGUAGGGCGGGACACGUGGUAUCCUGUCUGAAUAUGGGGGGACCAUCCUCCAAGGCUAAAUACUCCUGACUGACCGAUAGUGAACCAGUACCGUGAGGGAAAGGCGAAAAGAACCCCGGCGAGGGGAGUGAAAAAGAACCUGAAACCGUGUACGUACAAGCAGUGGGAGCACCUUCGGGUGUGACUGCGUACCUUUUGUAUAAUGGGUCAGCGACUUAUAUUCUGUAGCAAGGUUAACCGUAUAGGGGAGCCGCAGGGAAACCGAGUCUUAACUGGGCGUUAAGUUGCAGGGUAUAGACCCGAAACCCGGUGAUCUAGCCAUGGGCAGGUUGAAGGUUGGGUAACACUAACUGGAGGACCGAACCGACUAAUGUUGAAAAAUUAGCGGAUGACUUGUGGCUGGGGGUGAAAGGCCAAUCAAACCGGGAGAUAGCUGGUUCUCCCCGAAAGCUAUUUAGGUAGCGCCUCGUGAACUCAUCUUCGGGGGUAGAGCACUGUUUCGGCUAGGGGGUCAUCCCGACUUACCAACCCGAUGCAAACUACGAAUACCGAAGAAUGUUAUCACGGGAGACACACGGCGGGUGCUAACGUCCGUCGUGAAGAGGGAAACAACCCAGACCGCCAGCUAAGGUCCCAAAGUCAUGGUUAAGUGGGAAACGAUGUGGGAAGGCACAGACAGCCAGGAUGUUGGCUUAGAAGCAGCCAUCAUUUAAAGAAAGCGUAAUAGCUCACUGGUCGAGUCGGCCUGCGCGGAAGAUGUAACGGGGCUAAACCAUGCACCGAAGCUGCGGCAGCGACACUAUGUGUUGUUGGGUAGGGGAGCGUUCUGUAAGCCUGCGAAGGUGUGCUGUGAGGCAUGCUGGAGGUAUCAGAAGUGCGAAUGCUGACAUAAGUAACGAUAAAGCGGGUGAAAAGCCCGCUCGCCGGAAGACCAAGGGUUCCUGUCCAACGUUAAUCGGGGCAGGGUGAGUCGACCCCUAAGGCGAGGCCGAAAGGCGUAGUCGAUGGGAAACAGGUUAAUAUUCCUGUACUUGGUGUUACUGCGAAGGGGGGACGGAGAAGGCUAUGUUAGCCGGGCGACGGUUGUCCCGGUUUAAGCAUGUAGGCUGGUUAUCCAGGCAAAUCCGGAUAAUCAAGGCUGAGGUGUGAUGACGAGGCACUACGGUGCUGAAGUAAACAAAUGCCCUGCUUCCAGGAAAAGCCUCUAAGCAUCAGGUAACAUUAAAUCGUACCCCAAACCGACACAGGUGGUCAGGUAGAGAAUACCAAGGCGCUUGAGAGAACUCGGGUGAAGGAACUAGGCAAAAUGGUGCCGUAACUUCGGGAGAAGGCACGCUGGUGUGUAGGUGAAGUCCCUGCGGAUGGAGCUGAGACCAGUCGAAGAUACCAGCUGGCUGCAACUGUUUAUUAAAAACACAGCACUGUGCAAACACGAAAGUGGACGUAUACGGUGUGACGCCUGCCCGGUGCCGGAAGGUUAAUUGAUGGGGUUAUCCGUAAGGAGAAGCUCUUGAUCGAAGCCCCGGUAAACGGCGGCCGUAACUAUAACGGUCCUAAGGUAGCGAAAUUCCUUGUCGGGUAAGUUCCGACCUGCACGAAUGGCGUAAUGAUGGCCAGGCUGUCUCCACCCGAGACUCAGUGAAAUUGAACUCGCUGUGAAGAUGCAGUGUACCCGCGGCAAGACGGAAAGACCCCGUGAACCUUUACUAUAGCUUGACACUGAACAUUGAGCCUUGAUGUGUAGGAUAGGUGGGAGGCUUUGAAGCGUGGACGCCAGUCUGCGUGGAGCCAACCUUGAAAUACCACCCUUUAAUGUUUGAUGUUCUAACGUUGGCCCCUGACCGGGGUUGCGGACAGUGUCUGGUGGGUAGUUUGACUGGGGCGGUCUCCUCCCAAAGCGUAACGGAGGAGCACGAAGGUUAGCUAAUCCUGGUCGGACAUCAGGAGGUUAGUGCAAUGGCAUAAGCUAGCUUGACUGCGAGCGUGACGGCGCGAGCAGGUGCGAAAGCAGGUCAUAGUGAUCCGGUGGUUCUGAAUGGAAGGGCCAUCGCUCAACGGAUAAAAGGUACUCCGGGGAUAACAGGCUGAUACCGCCCAAGAGUUCAUAUCGACGGCGGUGUUUGGCACCUCGAUGUCGGCUCAUCACAUCCUGGGGCUGAAGUAGGUCCCAAGGGUAUGGCUGUUCGCCAUUUAAAGUGGUACGCGAGCUGGGUUUAGAACGUCGUGAGACAGUUCGGUCCCUAUCUGCCGUGGGCGCUGGAGAAUUGAGGGGGGCUGCUCCUAGUACGAGAGGACCGGAGUGGACGCAUCACUGGUGUUCGGGUUGUCAUGCCAAUGGCACUGCCCGGUAGCUAAAUGCGGAAAAGAUAAGUGCUGAAAGCAUCUAAGCACGAAACUUGCCCCGAGAUGAGUUCUCCCUGAGACUUUAAGUCUCCUGAAGGAACGUUGAAGACGACGACGUUGAUAGGCCGGGUGUGUAAGCGCAGCGAUGCGUUGAGCUAACCGGUACUAAUGAACCGUGAGGCUUAACCUU
Molecule: ribosomal RNA, 2901 nt
Filed under: Klebsiella pneumoniae
Lineage: Bacteria; Pseudomonadati; Pseudomonadota; Gammaproteobacteria; Enterobacterales; Enterobacteriaceae
Description: 23S ribosomal RNA
Rfam family: Bacterial large subunit ribosomal RNA
Source: RNAcentral